Molecule: long non-coding RNA, 1093 nt
Filed under: Coffea arabica (coffee)
Lineage: Eukaryota; Viridiplantae; Streptophyta; Magnoliopsida; Gentianales; Rubiaceae
Description: long non-coding RNA (CARA_LNC003650)
Source: RNAcentral
CUUUUGUCUCUGUAACCAAGCAUCGAUCUUUCCCAACUCCAUUGAGCUUAUUUCAAGCAUUAACUCUUCGCUAAAUUCCACUUUUUUAAGGCAAUUCUUUUUCCUCGCAAAAUAUCUUUCUUUUAUAGUUUACAUUUUAAUUAUAGUUUAUUUAAAUGAUUUAUUUUAUUCUAAGUUUGAAAUUUAAAAUUGUAUAUCAAUUUAUAAUUUACAAUGGUACCAUGCAUCUUCCCCAAAUCCCCUGCAACAAAAUUUUGAGCUCAAAUUCAUCAAACAUACCUAUUUGCUGACGCUAUCCCAAUGUGCCCCCUUUAUUAGAAAAUCAAAUUAAACGUAAUUAAUUUAUUCAGCAUCCAAUCAUAUUGAAAAAUAGUGAAAGUUGAAUCACUGAACCAUUUAUAAUCCUUAUUAAUAGAAAAUAGAAAAUUUGAAUUACUAAAACUUUUAAAAAUAUAUAUCGUAGAAUGACAUAAAGGAGAACAACAAAUUACUCAAAUAACUGAAAAAUUAAACUCAAAUGAUAUGAAAAGUACAGUCAAAUCAUAUAAACCUAAGAGAAAAACAAAAAAAAAAUAUUAAUAGUAGUAGAAAUUAAAGUUACUCGUAGAACGAAGGAAGUCUUGUUUCUUGUGCUUAAUUUGUGUUGGUGAGAGAAGACCAAUUUAACAAAAAAAAAAAAAAAAGAAACAAUUCGAGUAUUGAAUAUUAUGUUUUCUUAUUGUUUGAAUUAGAGUAAUUCUAUUAAACCCAUCCAGUUUCUCUUUUAAAAAAAAAAAAGAAAAAAGAAACCCGAAAACAUUUUGUUCACGUGCAAAUCACGUGAUCCAUGACUAGUUUCACAAUAAGAGAUACAGUUAAAGUUAUUUUUUAGAGACAAGUGGUGUGUGAUGAUAUAUGUUAUAUUUUGGUAUGUGUUAUCCUCUGUCAUAUUCGACACUGACUAUUCUUUGGAGUCUUAUACCCUAUCAAUAUUUCGGCAAUCACAUUUGUUGGAUGUGUAAUCAUCAAGAAAAUCAGCCUACAGAUGAUUAGCCACAAUUGUAUUGACACAGCAAAAAUGAAUAAUUACUGCUGCAGAGGCUAUACUGCCUAU